Long non-coding RNA from Pistacia vera, 494 nucleotides. RefSeq lists it as uncharacterized. The transcript has 3 exons. The record is from RefSeq and is a predicted model, not a curated record. Lineage: Eukaryota; Viridiplantae; Streptophyta; Magnoliopsida; Sapindales; Anacardiaceae.
UUUCUUUGCAGAUGCAUUUAAGGGCCUCAUCCAGAGGAAAUAUUGGAAAGGAUCUCUUCCUUGGAUUCAUUGCUAUUGUUUUAUGCGGGCAAAUGAAACUGAAGAAUUGAUAAUUUCAGAGGCAGAAUCUGCCUUAAAUGCCUCCAUAAAAGACCAUAUAUUUCAUAAGGUUAGGAAUGUUGCUCCAAACAAGGCGAUGUAUUGCUUGAGUUUUAGGCUGCCGGAAGCAUGCUUCAAUGAAGAUGCCACUCGUGAUCUUCAUUCUUCUGGUGAAGAAAUAGCCCCAGUUUGAACUCAAUUUUGAUUUGCCAUCAAUUUGGAGAGCUUGUUCUUAGUUUUGACAUAUUUCGUCGGUAACAUGGCACUGGUGCUUCCUGCUAUUUUUAACUAUGCAGAAUGGAAGCUUUAAAAGGAAUUGAUAGUACUUAAGCUGAUUUGAAUGUAACAUGAAUCUGAUUUAUAUCUUUUUAAAAAAAGUUUUUCCUUUAUUGUUU